CCUACGGGCGGCAGCAGUGGGGAAUAUUGGACAAUGGGCGAAAGCCUGAUCCAGCCAUGCCGCGUGUGUGAAGAAGGCCUUCGGGUUGUAAAGCACUUUCAGUGGGGAAGAAAGCCUUGGGGCUAAUACCCUCGAGGAAGGACAUCACCCACAGAAGAAGCACCGGCUAACUCCGUGCCAGCAGCCGCGGUAAUACGGAGGGUGCGAGCGUUAAUCGGAAUUACUGGGCGUAAAGCGCGCGUAGGCGGUCUGAUAAGCCGGUUGUGAAAGCCCCGGGCUCAACCUGGGAACGGCAUCCGGAACUGUCAGGCUAGAGUGCAGGAGAGGUAGGUAGAAUUCCCGGUGUAGCGGUGAAAUGCGUAGAGAUCGGGAGGAAUACCAGUGGCGAAGGCGGCCUUCUGGACUGACACUGACGCUGAGGUGCGAAAGCGUGGGUAGCAAACAGGAUUAGAUACCCCUGUAGUC
Molecule: ribosomal RNA, 465 nt
Filed under: Vreelandella stevensii
Lineage: Bacteria; Pseudomonadati; Pseudomonadota; Gammaproteobacteria; Oceanospirillales; Halomonadaceae
Description: partial 16S ribosomal RNA
Rfam family: Bacterial small subunit ribosomal RNA
Source: RNAcentral